This 454-nucleotide ribosomal RNA is filed under the name uncultured bacterium. RNAcentral describes it as "bacterial SSU rRNA". It matches the Rfam family "Bacterial small subunit ribosomal RNA", at positions 47 to 518 of the family's 1533-position model. The record is from RNAcentral.
CCUAACACAUGCAAGUCGAGCGAGGAGAUUCCUCGGGAUGAUCCUAGCGGCGGACGGGUGAGUAACACGUGGGCAACCUGCCUCAUAGAGAGGAAUAGCCUUCCGAAAGGGAGAUUAAUACCUCAUAACAUUGCAGUUUCGCAUGGAACAGCAAUUAAAGGAGUAAUCCGCUAUGAGAUGGGCCCGCGGCGCAUUAGCUAGUUGGUGAGGUAACGGCUCACCAAGGCGACGAUGCGUAGCCGACCUGAGAGGGUGAUCGGCCACAUUGGGACUGAGACACGGCCCAGACUCCUACGGGAGGCAGCAGUGGGGAAUAUUGCACAAUGGGGGAAACCCUGAUGCAAGCAACGCCGCGUGAGUGAUGACGGCCUUCGGGUUGUAAAGCUCUGUCUUCAGGGACGAUAAUGACGGUACCUGAGGAGGAAGCCACGGCUAACUACGUGCCAGCAGCCGC